AGUGACAUACCUAAUGAAUAAUUAUCAAUCCAUGAAUAAAAAGCACAAUUGGAUCAAAUAAAUCAGAAUAAAAAGAUGAUUUAAACUAAAAGCAUAAUUAAGAUGCUUUUCUUAAGUGGGGUUGUGGAAAUGUCUCUAUAAUGGGUGUACCUCUCCAAUCACUGUACUAACUGACCUGAACCGAGAGAUCGAGAGAAGGCGAGAGAGGUCCACCAGCAGAAAAUAAGAGAAAUAAAUCAGUGUAUGAGUGCAGAAGAAAAG
Molecule: unclassified non-coding RNA, 261 nt
Filed under: Hevea brasiliensis (rubber tree)
Lineage: Eukaryota; Viridiplantae; Streptophyta; Magnoliopsida; Malpighiales; Euphorbiaceae
Source: RNAcentral